GUGAAUCAUCGAAUCUUUGAACGCACAUUGCGCCCGCCAGUAUUCUGGCGGGCAUGCCUGUUCGAGCGUCAUUUCAACCCUCAAGACCCCUGUGGACUUGGUGUUGGGGACCGGCGGCGCCUCUCUGGUGUCACCGCCCCCUAAAUGAAUUGGCGGCCUCGUCGCGGCCCUCCUCUGCGUAGUAGCACACACCUCGCAACAGGAGCCCGACGGCGGCCACUGCCGUAAAACGCCCAAACUUUUUUAGAGUUGACCUCGAAUCAGGUAGGAAUACCCGCUGAACUUAAGCAUAUCAAUAAGCGGAGGA
Molecule: unclassified non-coding RNA, 307 nt
Filed under: Clavicipitaceae sp.
Lineage: Eukaryota; Fungi; Ascomycota; Sordariomycetes; Hypocreales; Clavicipitaceae
Description: partial contains 5.8S ribosomal RNA, internal transcribed spacer 2, and large subunit ribosomal RNA
Rfam family: 5.8S ribosomal RNA (bases 1-71)
Source: RNAcentral